UACGAAGGGGGCUAGCGUUGUUCGGCCUUACUGGGCGUAAAGGGCGCGUCGGCGGCGCGUUAAGUCAGGUGUGAAAGCCCUGGGCUCAACCCAGGAAUUGCACUUGAUACUGACGUGCUUGAAUCCGGAAGAGGAUGACGGAAUUCCCAGUGUAGAGGUGAAAUUCAUUGAUAUUGGGAAGAACACCAGUGGCGAAGGCGGUCAUCUGGUCCGGUAUUGACGCUGAGGCGCGAAAGCGUGGGGAGCAAACAGG
Molecule: ribosomal RNA, 253 nt
Filed under: uncultured bacterium
Lineage: Bacteria
Description: partial 16S ribosomal RNA
Rfam family: Bacterial small subunit ribosomal RNA
Source: RNAcentral